Non-coding RNA from Anolis sagrei ordinatus, 1054 nucleotides. The record is from RefSeq and is a predicted model, not a curated record. Lineage: Eukaryota; Metazoa; Chordata; Lepidosauria; Squamata; Anolidae.
ACCCCCCCCCCCCCCCAACUUGGUUGCUUCGCUACAUCGGCUAUUGCUGCAAGUAAUGACAGUGUGAAUAAAUUGUCAAUAUUUGCUUGAGAUAGUGCUUGCAGGGAGGGACUCUUAAUUUUUUGCGUCUCAUAGACUUAGCAUGGGGAUAAGCCACUGCCAGAAGGGACAGAAAGUUUCAUCUAUGCUGAUGAUCGUGCCAUUACUGCUCAAGCAGGGAGCUUUGAGAUGGUUGAACAGAAGCUCCGAAGCUCUAGGUCAGGGGUCCUCAAACUUUUUAAACAGAGGGCCAGGUCACGGUCCCUCAAACUGUUGGAGGGCCGGAUUAUAAUUUGAAAAAUCUAUAUAAAUAAAAAUGUAAUGUUCGUUUGUGGGAUUAACAUAACUCAAAAACCACUGGACGAAUUGACACCAAAUUUGGACACAAUACACCUAACAGGCCAACAAGUGACUAUCACUCAUAAAAACACUGAAAAACACAGUGGAAGAGACUUAAAAAGCAACCUCCCCCCAAAAAUACAUUAUAAUACAUGCGCAAAACCAUAUAUAUAUAUAUAUAUAUAUAUACACACACACACACACACAAAACAUAUACACAGAAAGGGGGAAAGAAGGAAGGAAAGAAAGAAAGAAGGAAAGAAAGAAGGGUAGAGAAGGAAGGAAGGAGAGAAGGAAAGAGGGAAAGAAGAAGGGAAGAAGGAGGAAAGGAAAGAAGGGUAGAGAAUGAAGGAAGGAGAGAAGGAAGGAGAGAAAGAGAGAGAAAGAGGGAAAGAAGAAGGGAAACAAGGAGGGAAGGAGAGAAAGAAGGAAAGAGAGAAGGGUAGAGAAGGAAGGAAGGAGAGAAGGAGGGAGAGAAAGAUAGGAAAAAAGGGAAAGAAGAAGGGGGAAAGGAGGGAAGGAGAGAAAUAAGGAAAGAAAGAAAGAAGGGUAGGGACUGAAGGAAGGAGAGAAGGAGGGAGAGAGGGAAAGAAGGAGGGAAGGAGAAAAGAAAAGAAAGGUAGAGAAGGAAGGAGAGAAGGAAAUAAAAAAGUGAAAGAGGGAAGGAAGGAAAGAA